GGUUUUCAUCCAGUCUCAUAUCUGCCACUGAGCGACCCCACCGCCCGUCCGUCCCAGGCGGAGUUCAACCUGCAGGCGAAGUCUGGGCAACUUUCCCAGUUUCGAGCAAAUACACCUCAGGAGGAAGUCCGUCCAGAUUGUAACAACGAUCAAGCUGACAUCAUACAAUGAGGUAAAGGUGAAAAGUGUUGGAGCUCUAGCAGCUCAUGAGUUUGGUGAAAAAGAGCGACAUCUUGUGUAGAGUAAAGCCAUGGACACACCCGUAUCCACCCCGAGAAGCCGGAGGGAGGGGGAGUGCAAGGAGCAGCCUCUUGUGAUCAGGCUGUCAUUUCCUCUCUUCGGCUCUGUUGUUCCUGAAAAAGGCCUUUGUGAAGGAGCCAAGUGGCCCGGGCAGUGACACAAGGUGGGCUCCUCCCGUGGCUCUGAGACUGUCAGAGGGGGCAGGUCGGUCCCCUGGCAGGCCGAGACGAAGAGAAAAACAAACACGGGGAUGAAACAGAACAGCAAAAUCCAGUCCCUGCUGGUGAAUACACUUUACAGCAAAUUAGAUGUGAUUUACAGUAUGUUGUUGGGAACAGUAAAGAAAACAAGGUAAAUGAUGACAAAUCUGUCUGGUGUAAACGAUGGCAGCAUGACUGCAGAUCUUGAAAGAAAAGCAGGAUGGGGAUAUUUAAAAAAAGAGGAUGGGUAUAUUUAAAACUCAAACCCUGCUUUUGCAACACUACAGCCACACUUCAGUGUGUUUUAUUGGUAUUUUAUAUGACAGACCAACAUAGACAAGCACAUACUUGUUAAGUGGAAAGAGAAUUAUAAUUGGGGUUUUUUCUACAAAACUUAGAGCAUUUCAGUCUCUAGAUAUGUAUAGCUAGCAAUA
Long non-coding RNA from Girardinichthys multiradiatus, 874 nucleotides. RefSeq lists it as uncharacterized. The record is from RefSeq and is a predicted model, not a curated record. The transcript has 3 exons. NCBI's taxonomy places the organism in Eukaryota, Metazoa, Chordata, Actinopteri, Cyprinodontiformes, Goodeidae.